Molecule: long non-coding RNA, 213 nt
Filed under: Vigna radiata
Lineage: Eukaryota; Viridiplantae; Streptophyta; Magnoliopsida; Fabales; Fabaceae
Description: long non-coding RNA (VRAD_LNC006848)
Source: RNAcentral
UGGAACAUCUCGGCUUUUCUUUGGGAAUCAUGGAAUNUUGCUAUUUUAUUUUGCUUAUAAUACUAAUUCAUGAUGCAGCGCGGGUUUUUCUUUUAUUAAGUUUUAUUCAUUUAGCUUUUCCAUUUCAUGAUGCAACGCGGGUUUAUCUUUUAUUAAGCUUUAUUCAUUUAGCUUUUCUAGUUCCAUGUCUUGUUUGCAUUUAAAUGCUUAACU